RNAcentral lists this ribosomal RNA (484 nucleotides) under uncultured bacterium. RNAcentral describes it as "partial 16S ribosomal RNA". It matches the Rfam family "Bacterial small subunit ribosomal RNA", at positions 30 to 507 of the family's 1533-position model. The record is from RNAcentral.
AUUGAACGCUGGCGGCAGGCCUAACACAUGCAAGUCGAGCGGAUGAAGGGAGCUUGCUCCUGGAUUCAGCGGCGGACGGGUGAGUAAUGCCUAGGAAUCUGCCUGGUAGUGGGGGAUAACGUCCGGAAACGGGCGCUAAUACCGCAUACGUCCUGAGGGAGAAAGUGGGGGAUCUUCGGACCUCACGCUAUCAGAUGAGCCUAGGUCGGAUUAGCUGGUUGGUGGGGUAAAGGCCUACCAAGGCGACGAUCCGUAACUGGUCUGAGAGGAUGAUCAGUCACGCUGGAACUGAGACACGGUCCAGACUCCUACGGGAGGCAGCAGUGGGGAAUAUUGGACAAUGGGCGAAAGCCUGAUCCAGCCAUGCCGCGUGUGUGAAGAAGGUCUUCGGAUUGUAAAGCACUUUAAGUUGGGAGGAAGGGCAGUAAGUUAAUACCUUGCUGUUUUGACGUUACCAACAGAAUAAGCACCGGCUAACUUCGUG